Molecule: long non-coding RNA, 2139 nt
Organism: Cavia porcellus (domestic guinea pig)
Lineage: Eukaryota; Metazoa; Chordata; Mammalia; Rodentia; Caviidae
Source: Ensembl
CCAGUCUAGGCUAUGUAGCGAGUUUGAAGCAUCCCUGGACUAUAUAGUGUGAUGCUGUCUCAAAAAACAAAACAAAACAACAGCAACAAAGUCACUUCUACAACAUUCUUUUGGUCACAUCAACUGUAGGAAACUGGGAGAGAGGUCACAAAUAUGAAUUCCAGCAGUACAAAGCACUGAAGGCUGUCUUGGAGUCUGCCAGCCACGGUGAAUAAAUAAAUGAGGAGCUGAGCCUGCAUGAUGCCACUGGCUUGGGAUACAAAGGCUUUGGAUUCAAGCACGCUCCAGGUUGACACCCAGAGCUGAUUCAAUUCCUUUCAUGCUGAGGGUGAACACCAGCAAAUGUAAUGAUCUGUGUCUCCAGGUUCUCCUCCUGCUUACAAUUGGCAUCGCUACCACAAUUUCACUGUAAACUUUUGUAGCCUCAAAACUCAACGCUUCUAAAGGUAAAUCCAAGUCUGAACCUUAAGCCAGCAAGAAGCAUUUGACAUUUUGGAUACCACUAAGGACUUAAAAGGAUAAAGCUGAGUAUACUUACAUGCUCAGAGCUGGUAGCACCAGGAACAGUUGAUUAUAAUUUUACUUCCCUGUACUUUUUCAAGGUUAUAGGAAAGGUUUUGGUGAUCCCACCCCUCUUAAAGGGUAAUUGCUAAUGUUAGGAGAAAACCCAUAAAGAUAAUUUUAUGGAACGUAUUUUUACUGCACUGCUGAACACUAGCCAGAUUUUGUCAUGGAAAUAAAUCAGAGAAUAUUGUUUUCUUGGUUUCAGGAAAUUGCUGGGCUCAAUGUUCAGUUUUCAGCCCACAAAUCCAUGACUCACCAACAAACAACUUGGAUAAAUGAGCACUGAGAUCUCAUUUGGUGCUGGCUGCUACCUUACCUUUGACAAUUCUUACUCUACUCUGCUGGGAAUUCCAUUUGCAUUUGAACAGCUCAGCAGUGAAAAUAUUGAGAGGAGAUCAACCCACCUGUGCUGACGGCUGUCUUUCUUGCUUCCUGCUUUGGAACAAUACAGAUCUGACACCCAGGAGCACAGUCCUAACCUAUCUGGCACACAGAUGUGUCCUGAAGCCUCUUUGCCCUGUAGUAACCAGCUGAGCUGUCGAACAUUGAAAGAGAACUAAGAAGAUCUUUUUAUUCGCUAUCAGGCCCUCUUGAGAAGCAUAUUUUGUUACUAAAUAAAAAGGAAGAGACGAACAUUGAGGUUACAUCUCCUGUUUGGAAAGUUCAGGGGAAAGUUGAGUUGACCUAAUCUCUAUCAGCUGCUUUUAGUCAUUAAUUCACUCAACCAGUAACUAUUGGAUACUCAAUGUGUACUAGGCAUUGUUCUGGACACUGGAGAUAAAACAGGACAAAGAUUGUUCUCAUGGAAUCUGUAAUCUGGUGGAAAAAAAGACAGAAAGAAUUCCACAGUGACUGGGCCUUCUGAUGGCAACGGGAUGCCCUGAGGGGGAUGUUGGGGUCUGUGUCCCUGGUAAACUGCAUUUAUUAUUCACUCACAGACGUGUAUAUGUGUGUGUGUGUGUGCACAUGCGUGCAUGCGUGUGUUUUUAGCUGAUUACUAAAACACUAACUUCUACCUAACAAAGUAUUUUUGAUGUCUUGAAAGUGAUUGUCAUAGCCCUGGAGAUCUAUUUGUGUCCUGUUUUCUCAAGUUUGUGUUCUUUGUGUUAGCAAAGAAUAUCCCACCUCACUGCAAGUAUAACAGAAUAAGCUAUUAUCUGUGAUGUUCCAGCCCUGAUGUACCCAGAAGCAAACUUUCAUUUUACCCAAUGUCAGUUUGUUAUCUGAGGACUGGGGUUAUUUUGCUCAAUAUACUGUAGCUAACUUUCAAUAUGUCUUCUUAGGUUUCAAAGCAAAUUUUACUAAAGGUUAGCAAGUUUGGAUGAGACCCAGACUUGGAUAAUAUUGCAAUGCCUGGGAAGCCAUGAGAAUGACUUUCACAUUUCCGUAAAGGAGGGUGAGUUUUAACCUUAACCUCACUCUGCCCCUCAUAUAAAGCAUGUGGUAAAUCAAGCAGAGCAUGUUAGGUGUUGUGUUUCAGUAAUGGAAUGAUAUAUCAAGCCAACAUUUGUUUUUAACCCUGGGUAAAGUGUAUUAAAUCACUAAAAACAAGUGUUCUGCCAUGUGCUUCCUAUA